This 824-nucleotide long non-coding RNA is filed under the name Carica papaya (papaya). RNAcentral's name for it is "long non-coding RNA (CPAP_LNC004438)". The record is from RNAcentral. Lineage: Eukaryota; Viridiplantae; Streptophyta; Magnoliopsida; Brassicales; Caricaceae.
CUCAAUGUUGUUUAGUUCAUCCAAGAUUGAAGAUUGGCUGAACUAGAUCAUCAAGGAACAAUCUUAAUCAACGGGUAACCGUUGCUAUCAGAUGAAAAUGCCUUCCCUGGAGAUGGUAGGAGAUGAGAUUUGGGGUGUGAAGGAUUAACUUAGGAAGCUUGUAAAACUAGAGGGUGGUGUAAAAUUCCUAACCAGUUCGCAUAAAUGGGUACGUCCAUUAAAAAAAUGUUGGCCCUGCCAAUGGUAUAAUCAGUUACAAAACGGUCGUUCUGAUGUUGAGAGUGUCGAGAGUGGGGUCAUGAGCGGAUUUACCUAGAAUAAUGGGUAGAUUGUAGAUGUUCUCAUACCGUUCUUUCUCUAAAUCAUCUUUGAAGAUGAGAUGUCUGCAGAGGUUUAUUUAUAUUGGUUGGUGGACGGGUUCGCCUCGUCGAACCCGGGCCCUCUUUGGUAUUCUUUCAAGAGUUCCUUCUUCUUCAACGACUACACUAUAGGAGGUGGUGGAGGGUCUUGGGAUUCAGUUGGUUGACUCGAUCUGCCUUCUAGAGUGGUGGUGCGGGGUGAUAGGGAGUCAAAAACAUCUAUAAUGGGGCUUCAAGUUGGUGAGCUGGGGGGUAGUGGAGCUAUUAUAAUUAGUUGGUGAAUAUGGAAUUUAAAGCACGAAACUUGUAAUUCUAUAAUAGAACCACCAAUUAUCACCCAAAAUACUCUAAUUAAGUGAAACAAACAAUUUUGGAUGAAAACAAACUCAAUUGAGGUGAGUUAUUUCCAAACAGCCCCAAAAAUUACAUAAACAAUCUCAACCAAAUAAACAGCCUUGAAACGAG